GCACCGGUAACUCAGCGGUAGAGUACUGCUCUUAUAAAGCAGGAGUCGGUGGUUCGAAUCCACCCCGGUGCACAA
Molecule: transfer RNA, 75 nt
Filed under: candidate division CPR3 bacterium
Lineage: Bacteria; candidate division CPR3
Description: tRNA-Ile
Rfam family: tRNA
About the family: Transfer RNA (tRNA) molecules are approximately 80 nucleotides in length.
Source: RNAcentral